UACGUAGGUGGCAAGCGUUAUCCGGAUUUACUGGGUGUAAAGGGCGAGUAGGCGGGCAUACAAGUCAGAUGUGAAAUGUGGGGGCUUAACUCCCAAGCUGCAUUUGAAACUGUAAGUCUUGAGUGAUGGAGAGGCAGGCGGAAUUCCCGGUGUAGCGGUGGAAUGCGUAGAUAUCGGGAGGAACACCAGUGGCGAAGGCGGCCUGCUGGACAUUAACUGACGCUGAGGAGCGAAAGCGUGGGGAGCAAACAGG
Molecule: ribosomal RNA, 253 nt
Filed under: Intestinimonas butyriciproducens
Lineage: Bacteria; Bacillati; Bacillota; Clostridia; Eubacteriales
Description: partial 16S ribosomal RNA
Rfam family: Bacterial small subunit ribosomal RNA
Source: RNAcentral